AGGACGAACGCUGGCGGCGUGCUUAACACAUGCAAGUCGAACGAGGCGCUUGCGCCUAGUGGCGAACGGGUGAGUAACACGUGAGCAACCUGCCCUUGGCUCUGGGAUAGCCUCCGGAAACGGGGAUUAAUACCGGACAUGACCUUCUCCUGCAUGGGGGAGGGUGGAAAGUUUUUCGGCCAGGGAGGGGCUCGCGGCCUAUCAGCUUGUUGGGGGGUAACGGCCCACCAAGGCGACGACGGGUAGCCGG
This 250-nucleotide ribosomal RNA is filed under the name uncultured bacterium. RNAcentral's name for it is "partial small subunit ribosomal RNA". It matches the Rfam family "Bacterial small subunit ribosomal RNA", at positions 26 to 290 of the family's 1533-position model. The record is from RNAcentral.